AUUGAACGCUGGCGGCGUGCCUAACACAUGCAAGUCGAGCGGUAACAGGUGUAGCAAUACAUGCUGACGAGCGGCGGACGGGUGAGUAACGCUUGGGAAUCUGCCUAUUAGUGGGGGACAACCCGGGGAAACUCGGGCUAAUACCGCAUACGCUCUACGGAGGAAAGCCGGGGACCGCAAAGGCCUGGCGCUAAUAGAUGAGCCCAAGUCGGAUUAGCUAGUUGGUAGGGUAAGGCCUACCAAGGCGACGAUCCGUAAACUGGUCUGAGAGGACGACCAGGUCACACCGGAACUGAGACACGGUCCGGACUCUACGGGAGGCAGCAGUGGGGAAUAUUGGAC
RNAcentral lists this ribosomal RNA (342 nucleotides) under uncultured bacterium. RNAcentral's name for it is "bacterial SSU rRNA". It matches the Rfam family "Bacterial small subunit ribosomal RNA", at positions 30 to 369 of the family's 1533-position model. The record is from RNAcentral.